UAAAGCGAAAGUGCGAUGUGACUCAUC
RNAcentral lists this small RNA (27 nucleotides) under Bombyx mori (domestic silkworm). Its description in RNAcentral is "ovarian small RNA-5588". The record is from RNAcentral. Lineage: Eukaryota; Metazoa; Arthropoda; Insecta; Lepidoptera; Bombycidae.